GACGAACGCUGGCGGCGUGCUUAACACAUGCAAGUCGAACGGAAAGGCCCUGCUUUUGUGGGGUGCUCGAGUGGCGAACGGGUGAGUAACACGUGAGUAACCUGCCCUUGACUUUGGGAUAACUUCAGGGAACUGGGGCUAAUACCGGAUAGGAGCUCCUGCUGCAUGGUGGGGGUUGGAAAGUUUCGGCGGUUGGGGAUGGACUCGCGGCUUAUCAGCUUGUUGGUGGGGUAGUGGCUUACCAAGGCUUUGACGGGUAGCCGGCCUGAGGGGGUGACCGGCCACAUUGGGACUGAGAUACGGCCCAGACUCCUACGGGAGGCAGCAGUGGGGAAUAUUGCACAAUGGGCGGAAGCCUGAUGCAGCAACGCCGCGUGCGGGAUGACGGCCUUCGGGUUGUAAACCGCUUUCGCCUGUGACGAAGCGUGAGUGACGGUAAUGGGUAAAGAAGCACCGGCUAACUACGUG
This 468-nucleotide ribosomal RNA is filed under the name uncultured bacterium. RNAcentral describes it as "partial 16S ribosomal RNA". It matches the Rfam family "Bacterial small subunit ribosomal RNA", at positions 28 to 507 of the family's 1533-position model. The record is from RNAcentral.